AGCAGGGGAUCACUUGUGACCUUGCGCUAAUAGAUGAGCCUAAGUCGGAUUAGCUAGUUGGUGGGGUAAAGGCCUACCAAGGCGACGAUCUGUAGCGGGUCUGAGAGGAUGAUCCGCCACACUGGGACUGAGACACGGCCCAGACUCCUACGGGAGGCAGCAGUGGGGAAUAUUGGACAAUGGGGGGAACCCUGAUCCAGCCAUGCCGCGUGUGUGAAGAAGGCCUUAUGGUUGUAAAGCACUUUAAGCGAGGAGGAGGCUCUUUUGGUUAAUACCCAAAAUGAGUGGACGUUACUCGCAGAAUAAGCACCGGCUAACUCUGUGCCAGCAGCCGCGGUAAUACAGAGGGUGCAAGCGUUAAUCGGAUUUACUGGGCGUAAAGCGCGCGUAGGCGGCCAAUUAAGUCAAAUGUGAAAUCCCCGAGCUUAACUUGGGAAUUGCAUUCGAUACUGGUUGGCUAGAGUGUGGGAGAGGAUGGUAGAAUUCCAGGUGUAGCGGUGAAAUGCGUAGAGAUCUGGAGGAAUACCGAUGGCGAAGGCAGCCAUCUGGCCUAACACUGACGCUGAGGUGCGAAAGCAUGGGGAGCAAACAGGAUUAGAUACCCUGGUAGUCCAUGCCGUAAACGAUGUCUACUAGCCGUUGGGGCCUUUGAGGCUUUAGUGGCGCAGCUAACGCGAUAAGUAGACCGCCUGGGGAGUACGGUCGCAAGACUAAAACUCAAAUGAAUUGACGGGGGCCCGCACAAGCGGUGGAGCAUGUGGUUUAAUUCGAUGCAACGCGAAGAACCUUACCUGGCCUUGACAUAGUAGAAACUUUCCAGAGAUGGAUUGGUGCCUUCGGGAAUCUACAUACAGGUGCUGCAUGGCUGUCGUCAGCUCGUGUCGUGAGAUGUUGGGUUAAGUCCCGCAACGAGCGCAACCCUUUUCCUUACUUGCCAGCAUUUCGGAUGGGAACUUUAAGGAUACUGCCAGUGACAAACUGGAGGAAGGCGGGGACGACGUCAAGUCAUCAUGGCCCUUACGGCCAGGGCUACACACGUGCUACAAUGGUCGGUACAAAGGGUUGCUACCUAGCGAUAGGAUGCUAAUCUCAAAAAGCCGAUCGUAG
RNAcentral lists this ribosomal RNA (1107 nucleotides) under Acinetobacter baylyi. RNAcentral describes it as "bacterial SSU rRNA". It matches the Rfam family "Bacterial small subunit ribosomal RNA", at positions 202 to 1291 of the family's 1533-position model. Lineage: Bacteria; Pseudomonadati; Pseudomonadota; Gammaproteobacteria; Moraxellales; Moraxellaceae. The record is from RNAcentral.